Non-coding RNA from Caenorhabditis elegans, 21 nucleotides. The record is from Ensembl. NCBI's taxonomy places the organism in Eukaryota, Metazoa, Nematoda, Chromadorea, Rhabditida, Rhabditidae.
UACUCUUGUUUUAUUCAGGCA